RNAcentral lists this ribosomal RNA (433 nucleotides) under uncultured bacterium. Its description in RNAcentral is "partial 16S ribosomal RNA". It matches the Rfam family "Bacterial small subunit ribosomal RNA", at positions 29 to 507 of the family's 1533-position model. The record is from RNAcentral.
AACGAACGCUGGCGGCAUGCCUAACACAUGCAAGUCGAACGAGACCUUCGGGUCUAGUGGCGCACGGGUGCGUAACGCGUGGGAACCUGCCCUUAGGUUCGGAAUAACUCCCCGAAAGGGGUGCUAAUACCGGCUAAUGUCUUCGGACCAAAGAUUUAUCGCCUUUGGAUGGGCCCGCGUUGGAUUAGCUCGUUGGUAGGGUAAAAGCCUACCAAGGCGACGAUCCAUAGCUGGUCUGAGAGGAUGAUCAGCCACACUGGGACUGAGACACGGCCCAGACUCCUACGGGAGGCAGCAGUGGGGAAUAUUGGACAAUGGGCGAAAGCCUGAGCCAGCAAUGCCGCGUGAGUGAUGAAGGCCUUAGGGUUGUAAAGCUCUUUUACCCGGGAUGAUAAUGACAGUACCGGGAGAAUAAGCUCCGGCUAACUCCGUG